This is a long non-coding RNA of Aedes aegypti (yellow fever mosquito), 275 nucleotides long. RefSeq lists it as uncharacterized. The record is from RefSeq and is a predicted model, not a curated record. The transcript has 2 exons. Lineage: Eukaryota; Metazoa; Arthropoda; Insecta; Diptera; Culicidae.
UAACCGCAUAACUAUAGUUCACAUCCGGUGGGUCAUCGCGGCGAAGAACUGCGGGUCGAACAGCACUGCGAUCAACGGACAAACACCAGAGUCCACAGACUUGAGCGAGGUUAAGUAAUGCCAGCAUUCCACAGCAGAUAUCACCGAUUCCCCGAAUUCCAAUCAAUGUACUCACCAAGAGCCUUCAUGUAGUCAUCGAAUCCUUCGGACUUCUCCAUCUUGUACUUCUUUCCAACCCAGGCUGCCAUUGUUGAAGAUGUAAUUUAAAUGUCGUU